GACGAACGCUGGCGGCGUGCUUAACACAUGCAAGUCGAACGGAAAGGCCUCUUUCGGGGGGUACUCGAGUGGCGAACGGGUGAGUAACACGUGAGUAACCUGCCCUUGACUUUGGGAUAACUUCAGGAAACUGGGGCUAAUACCGGAUAGGAGCUCCUGCUGCAUGGUGGGGGUUGGAAAGUUUCGGCGGUUGGGGAUGGACUCGCGGCUUAUCAGCUUGUUGGUGGGGUAGUGGCUUACCAAGGCUUUGACGGGUAGCCGGCCUGAGAGGGUGACCGGCCACAUUGGGACGGGGAUAGGGCCAGGACUCCUAGGGAGGGAGGAAGUGGGGAAUAUGGCACAAUGGUGGGAGGCCGAAGGAAGAACGCCGUGUGCGGGAUGACGGCCUUCGGGUUGUAAACCGCUUUCGCUCAUGACGAAGCUUUGUGUGACGGUAGUGGGUAAAGAAGCACCGGCUAACUACGUG
Molecule: ribosomal RNA, 466 nt
Filed under: uncultured bacterium
Lineage: Bacteria
Description: partial 16S ribosomal RNA
Rfam family: Bacterial small subunit ribosomal RNA
Source: RNAcentral